GUUUUCCUAUUCUACCAAACAAAUCCACAGACUUAAGAGUUAUUCAAAUUAGGCACAGCUUAUUUGAAACAGGAUACAACCUCCACCACUGGGUAAACAAGGGUAAUCAAAAUAAAGUGGGCCCAAAAGCAGCCAUCUUCCAAAAAGCGUCAAAGCUUACCUAUUCCAACCCAUAAUUUCUAAAAUACCCCACAACCCUUCACCCCUACUGAACCCUUUUAUACUAAUAUAAAAAUUAUUAUGCUAGAACUAGUAACAAGAAGUUGCCCUUCUCCACAAUGUAAACAUAAACCAAAACGGACUAUCCAUUGGUAGUUAACGUAAAUGAAGCCCCCAUAAUAACACAACUAGAGAACCUUAUGGCUCACCCCACGUUACCCUAACACCAGAACAUUACAGGAAAGAUUAAAAGAGAAAGAAGGAACUCGGCAAAUUUUAGCCCCGCCUGUUUACCAAAAACAUCGCCUCUUGACUAAAUAUAAGAGGUCCAGCCUGCCCAGUGACAAAAUUUAACGGCCGCGGUACACUAACCGUGCGAAGGUAGCAUAAUCACUUGUUCUUUAAAUAGGGACUAGUAUCAACGGCAUCACGAGGGCUAUACUGUCUCCUCUCUCUAAUCAGUGAAACUGAUCCCCCCGUGAAGAAGCGGGGAUUUAAUUAUAAGACGAGAAGACCCCAUGGAGCUUUAAACCCAACAUAUACCCCUUCACCUGAGCACCAACUUAACCCAAGAGACUUAUAUGUUGGUUUUAGGCUGGGGGGGCCACGGAGUAAAAUUAAACCUCCAUAACAAAUGGGCUAGCACCCUUAUCUAUGAUCUUACAAAUCUAAGAAUUACCAAAAUAAUGUUUAAUGACCCGAUAACUCGAUCAAUGAACCAAGUUACCCUGGGGAUAACAGCGCAAUCUACUUCAAGAGCCCCUAUCGACAAGUGGGUUUACGACCUCGAUGUUGGAUCAGGGUAUCCUAGUGGUGCAACCGCUAC
Molecule: ribosomal RNA, 985 nt
Filed under: Odorrana lungshengensis (Lungshen odorous frog)
Lineage: Eukaryota; Metazoa; Chordata; Amphibia; Anura; Ranidae
Description: partial 16S ribosomal RNA
Rfam family: Bacterial large subunit ribosomal RNA
Source: RNAcentral